ACGUAGGGACCAAGCGUUGUUCGGAUUUACUGGGCGUAAAGGGCGCGUAGGCGGCAAUUCAAGUCAGCUGUGAAAUCUCCGGGCUUAACUCGGAACGGUCAGCUGAUACUGCUUUGCUAGAGUGCGGAAGGGGCAAUCGGAAUUCUCGGUGUAGCGGUGAAAUGCGUAGAUAUCUAGAGGAACGUCAAAGGUGAAGACAGGCGGCUGGGCCGAUUCUGACGCUGAGGCACGAAAGCGUGGGGAGCGAACGGGA
This 253-nucleotide ribosomal RNA is filed under the name uncultured prokaryote. RNAcentral's name for it is "partial 16S ribosomal RNA". It matches the Rfam family "Bacterial small subunit ribosomal RNA", at positions 525 to 777 of the family's 1533-position model. The record is from RNAcentral.